This 554-nucleotide ribosomal RNA is filed under the name uncultured bacterium. RNAcentral describes it as "partial 16S ribosomal RNA". It matches the Rfam family "Bacterial small subunit ribosomal RNA", at positions 355 to 900 of the family's 1533-position model. The record is from RNAcentral.
UAGGGAAUCUUCCACAAUGGACGCAAGUCUGAUGGAGCAACGCCGCGUGAGUGAAGAAGGUUUUCGGACCGUAAAGCUCUGUUGUUGGUGAAGAAGGAUAGAGGUAGUAACUGGCCUUUAUUUGACGGUAAUCAACCAGAAAGUCACGGCUAACUACGUGCCAGCAGCCGCGGUAAUACGUAGGUGGCAAGCGUUGUCCGGAUUUAUUGGGCGUAAAGCGAGCGCAGGCGGAAAAAUAAGUCUGAUGUGAAAGCCCUCGGCUUAACCGAGGAAUUGCAUCGGAAACUGUUUUCUUGAGUGCAGAAGAGGAGAGUAGAACUCCAUGUGUAGCGGUGGAAUGCGUAGAUAUAUGGAAGAAUACCAGUGGCGAAGGCGGCUCUCUGGUCUGCAACUGACGCUGAGGCUCGAAAGCAUGGGUAGCGAACAGGAUUAGAUACCCUGGUAGUCCAUGCCGUAAACGAUGAGUGCUAAGUGUUGGGAGGCUUCCGCCUCUCAGUGCUGCAGCUAACGCAUUAAGCACUCCGCCUGGGGGAGUACGACCGCAAGGUUGAAAC